This 451-nucleotide ribosomal RNA is filed under the name uncultured Brucellaceae bacterium. Its description in RNAcentral is "bacterial SSU rRNA". It matches the Rfam family "Bacterial small subunit ribosomal RNA", at positions 8 to 507 of the family's 1533-position model. Lineage: Bacteria; Pseudomonadati; Pseudomonadota; Alphaproteobacteria; Hyphomicrobiales; Brucellaceae. The record is from RNAcentral.
AGAGUUUGAUCCUGGCUCAGAACGAACGCUGGCGGCAGGCUUAACACAUGCAAGUCGAGCGCCUCGCAAGAGGAGCGGCAGACGGGUGAGUAACGCGUGGGAAUCUACCUAUCUCUAGGGAAUAACUCAGGGAAACUUGUGCUAAUACCCUAUACGCCCUUCGGGGGAAAGAUUUAUCGGGGAUAGAUGAGCCCGCGUUGGAUUAGCUAGUUGGUGAGGUAAUGGCUCACCAAGGCGACGAUCCAUAGCUGGUCUGAGAGGAUGAUCAGCCACACUGGGACUGAGACACGGCCCAGACUCCUACGGGAGGCAGCAGUGGGGAAUAUUGGACAAUGGGCGCAAGCCUGAUCCAGCCAUGCCGCGUGAGUGAUGAAGGCCCUAGGGUUGUAAAGCUCUUUCACCGAUGAAGAUAAUGACGGUAGUCGGAGAAGAAGCCCCGGCUAACUUCGUG